This 457-nucleotide ribosomal RNA is filed under the name uncultured bacterium. RNAcentral describes it as "bacterial SSU rRNA". It matches the Rfam family "Bacterial small subunit ribosomal RNA", at positions 340 to 786 of the family's 1533-position model. The record is from RNAcentral.
UACGGGAGGCAGCAGGGGGGAAUAUUGCACAAUGGGCGAAAGCCUGAUGCAGCUAUGCCGCGUGUAUGAAGAAGGCCUUAGGGUUGUAAAGUACUUUCAUCGGGGAGGAAAAAACAAAACUAAUAAUUUUAUUUCUUGACGUUACCCGAAAAAGAAGCACCGGCUAACUCCGUGCCAGCAGCCGCGGUAAUACGGAGGGUGCUAGCGUUAAUCAGAAUUACUGGGCGUAAAGAGCACGUAGGUGGUUUUUUUAAGUCAGAUGUGAAAUCCCUGGGCUUAACCUGGAACUGCAUUUUGAAACUGAAAUACUAGAGUAUCGUAGAGGGAGGUAGAAUUCUAGGUGUAGCGGUGAAAUGCGUAGAUAUCUGGAGGAAUACCUGUGGCGAAAGCGGCCUCCUAAACGAAUACUGACACUGAGGGUGCGAAAGCGUGGGGAGCAAACAGGGAUUUAGAUACC